CACCACUGCAAGAGGGGAAGUUGCUACUGUGAUGAAUUCUGCCAUGUGGCACCAGACUGCCACCCAGACCACAGUGUCCUCUGCAACCCUGGUCAAAGGUGCCUACAUGCUCCUUCUAGCUUUGUUUCCCUGAUGUUCCUUGCCACCUGCUACUCCUCUCUGAGCUACUUUUCCAGCCUCCCAGGAAUGCCAUUCACCAUGGCUGUGAGGAGAAUAAAGAAGAGAGCCUGACUCCUCUCCUGAGGCCCCUUCCCCACCCUGAGCCAGCAGGAUCCACGGAGCAGAGGUCAUCUGUCCCCAGCUUGGCCCACUGAGGCCAGCAUGGCUGGGCCCAGGAUGCUUGUCUCUCAGCUCCCAUCCUGUGUACUUCCACAUUGGUUUAACCAGAGGAAAACCGAAAUCUACAAUUGUCAUAAACACAUUUAAAUGUGCGUAGAAUCAGCCAUACAAAUUGUGAAACAUA
RNAcentral lists this unclassified non-coding RNA (463 nucleotides) under Homo sapiens (human). RNAcentral describes it as "MUC20 overlapping transcript (ENSG00000280993.2)". The record is from RNAcentral. Lineage: Eukaryota; Metazoa; Chordata; Mammalia; Primates; Hominidae.